Molecule: ribosomal RNA, 497 nt
Filed under: uncultured bacterium
Lineage: Bacteria
Description: partial 16S ribosomal RNA
Rfam family: Bacterial small subunit ribosomal RNA
Source: RNAcentral
GAUGAACGCUGGCGGCGUGCCUAAUACAUGCAAGUCGAGCGAACGGACGAGAAGCUUGCUUUUCUGAUGUUAGCGGCGGACGGGUGAGUAACACGUGGAUAACCUACCUAUAAGACUGGGAUAACUUCGGGAAACCGGAGCUAAUACCGGAUAAUAUUUUGAACCGCAUGGUUCAAAAGUGAAAGACGGUCUUGCUGUCACUUAUAGAUGGAUCCGCGCUGCAUUAGCUAGUUGGUAAGGUAACGGCUUACCAAGGCAACGAUGCAUAGCCGACCUGAGAGGGUGAUCGGCCACACUGGAACUGAGACACGGUCCAGACUCCGACGGGAGGCAGCAGUAGGGAAUCUUCCGCAAUGGGCGAAAGCCUGACGGAGCAACGCCGCGUGAGUGAUGAAGGUCUUCGGAUCGUAAAACUCUGUUAUUAGGGAAGAACAUAUGUGUAAGUAACUGCGCACAUCUUGACGGUACCUAAUCAGAAAGCCACGGCUAACUACGUG